This 433-nucleotide ribosomal RNA is filed under the name uncultured bacterium. RNAcentral's name for it is "partial 16S ribosomal RNA". It matches the Rfam family "Bacterial small subunit ribosomal RNA", at positions 29 to 507 of the family's 1533-position model. The record is from RNAcentral.
AACGAACGCUGGCGGCAGGCCUAACACAUGCAAGUCGAGCGAGGACUUCGGUCCUAGCGGCGGACGGGUGAGUAACGCGUGGGAACGUGCCCUUUGCUUCGGAAUAGCCCUGGGAAACUGGGAGUAAUACCGGAUGAGCCCUUUGGGGAAAAGAUUUAUCGGCGAAGGAUCGGCCCGCGUUGGAUUAGGUAGUUGGUGGGGUAAUGGCCUACCAAGCCGACGAUCCAUAGCUGGUUUGAGAGGAUGAUCAGCCACACUGGGACUGAGACACGGCCCAGACUCCUACGGGAGGCAGCAGUGGGGAAUCUUAGACAAUGGGGGAAACCCUGAUCGAGCCAUGCCGCGUGAGCGAUGAAGGCCUUAGGGUUGUAAAGCUCUUUCAGCUGGGAAGAUAAUGACGGUACCAGCAGAAGAAGCCCCGGCUAACUCCGUG